UACGGGGGGGGCAAGCGUUGUUCGGAAUUACUGGGCGUAAAGGGCCAGUAGGCGGCCAACUAAGUCGGAUGUGAAAUCCCCAGGCUCAACUUGGGAACUGCAUCCGAUACUGGAUGGCUUGAAUUCGGGAGAGGGAUGCAGAAUUCCAGGUGUAGCGGUGAAAUGCGUAGAUAUCUGGAGGAAUACCGGUGGCGAAGGCGGAUCUCUGGGCCUUACCUGACGCUGAGGCGCGAAAGCUAGGGGAGCGAACAGG
This 253-nucleotide ribosomal RNA is filed under the name uncultured bacterium. RNAcentral describes it as "partial 16S ribosomal RNA". It matches the Rfam family "Bacterial small subunit ribosomal RNA", at positions 524 to 776 of the family's 1533-position model. The record is from RNAcentral.